Molecule: long non-coding RNA, 2734 nt
Filed under: Homo sapiens (human)
Lineage: Eukaryota; Metazoa; Chordata; Mammalia; Primates; Hominidae
Description: HSALNT0064500
Source: RNAcentral
AUUCAAUGGAUUUCAGUAUAUUAUUAACUUAUAAAAUCUCUAGUCAAAUAUAAAACUUUCUAACUUAAUUUUGAUUUCUCCUUUGGCCCAUGAGUUAUUUAGAAGUGUGGGUUCCUGAGUACUUGGGCUCUUCCAGAGAGCUUUCUAAUACUGAUUUCUAAUUUAAUUCCAUUGUUGCUAUAAAUGUCAUUUAGGUCAAGUUAUCGGAUAAUCUUCAAAUCGUUUAUAGCCUUACUUCCCUCUUCCCAUCUUCUCAGUCCAUCAAUUAUUGAGAGAAGAAUACUAAAGUCUUCAACAAUUGGAAGCACAAUAAUUUCUAUUUCCUUUGAAGUUCCAUCAGUUUUUGCUUCAUAUGUUUUGAAACAGUGUUAUUAAAUGCAUUAUCAUUUUAAAAUGUUUUGUUGAAUUGACUGUUUAUCUUGUAUUAAUAACCUCCUUUUUCCCUGUAAAUCUUCUGAGCUUUGAAAUCUAGUUUGUCUUAUAUUAAUGUAGCCAUUUCAGCUGUCUCUUGCUGAAAUGCAUACUUAUACACUUGAAAUGUAUAAAUGUACACUUGAUUAGUGAUAGCAUGGUAUUUAUUUUUACAUCAUUUUAUUUUCAGCCUAUUGAUAUUUUUGUAUUUGAAGUAUAUUUUACAUAGGCAGUAUAUAGUUGAGUCUUGCUUGUUGAUUCAGUCUCACAAUCUCUGCCUUUUAAUAUUUAGGCCAUUUACACUUAUUUUGCUUUGUCAUAUGGUUACAUUUAAAUUUACUGUACUUCUGUUUAUCUCUUCUGUUCUUUCCCCUUUUUGUAUUUCUACCUUCAUUUGGAUUAAUUGGAUAUUUUUUAUGAUUACAUUUUCUUCUCCUUUGAUGGGUUCUUAACUGUAAUUAUUUUUAGUAGUGUUUUUGGAUUUAUAGUGCACACCUUUAACUUGUCACCAUCUACCUUGAGGUGAUAAUUUUAAAUGGGCUAAAUAAUCUUAUUUUCUGCCCCUCUUCCCUCCCCUACCUUUUUACCUAAGAUUCUAACUAUGUAGGUAUUAGUCUGCCCAAAGUUUUAUCACAACUCACUGAUGCUCUGUCACCACACCCUCUUUUCCAGUCUAUGUUCUCUGCGUUUUUGGAUAGAUUCUAUGCUGCCUCCAAGGUCAUAAAUCAUUUCUUCCCGCAGCAUCGAAUCUGUGGUUUAUCCUAACCAGUGCACUUUUCAUCUCACAUGUUGUUUAAUAACAUAACUUCAUCUCUAGAAGUUUAAUAACAUAUCUUCUGUGUCUCUACUUAGCUUUUUGAACAUAUGAUAUGGUUAAUCUUUGAACAAUGUGAGGGUUAGGAGCACCAACCCCCUGUGCAGUUGGAAAUCUGCACAUAGCUUUUGACUCCCCAAAAUCUUACCAACUAAUAGCCAGCUGCUGAUUAGAAGACUUACUGAUAACAGUUGAAUAAGAUAUAUUUUGUAUAUUGCAGGAAUUAAAAAUUAUGCAGAAUGAAGACAGACCAAAAAAGAGUAUAUACUGUAUGAUCCCAAUCAUACAAUGUAAUCUAAUCUCUGGGGAUGGGAGAGAGAUAUCACUAAGGGGCAAGAAGAAACGUCUGAAGGUAACAGAUGUAUUCAUUAUCCUGAGUGCGGUAAUAGUUUCAAUGGUGUAUACAUAUGUCAAAAUAUAUCAAAUGGUUCAAGUAAAAUACAUACAGUUCAUUUUAUGUCAACUGUACCUCAAUAAAAUUGUCUUAAAAACAAAAGUAUGGUAAGAAAGAAUACGAUGGGUAAACUGAAGCUUAUUUAUUCGUAAAAAUACUUUGAUACUAUGUACCUCAUCAGGUUGUAGUCAGGACUAAAGGGGACAGAAAGAGCACCAUCUCCAACACAGAGUUGGUACUAAUCAUAUGGUACCUAGCAAUAGUACCAUAAACAUACUUACUUCAACUUUACAUUACUCCUAGGAUGUACGAGAAAUUAGUAUGAUUAACAGCCAAGAAGCCUGAGAGAAUUCUGAAAACUAGAAGCAAAGAUGAAAAGGAAGCACAACAGGUGAACAAAAAUGUACAGAAGAGAAUGAAGACAUUCUCUGCUUCAAAACUUGUCAGUUUUGCCUACUUGUGAGUGCCACUAAAGGCCUAUGAAACCCUUCCACUGUGUGACACUAAUGUUGUAUGGGGGCCUUAUAUCCAAAGUUCAACAACUGACAGUGAUUGCUCUGGACCAGGAUCUACAUCACCCCACCUCAUGCAUGCCAAAAGUAUUCUCACAGACUCACACAACUAAGAAUGAAGGUAGAGUGGUGGACUGGGAAGAACAUCAAAUUCAUAGUCUUACAAUGAUUUAUUAGAAGUAAAAAAGAAAAACUUUAAAAUAUGAUUAGAAGGUUUUAUAUGGCCAUUCCUCUAAAUCCUUUACUGUCUAAAACGAAGUGUGUGGGUAUGAUCCAAACAAUAUCAUUGUUUCGAAUGAUCAGAUUCUUAAAUACUUGAAUGUUCCUUUCUAUUAUUAAUCCCUUCCCACUAUGAAAUAUUUGCCAAUAAAAAGAUCAACAAGGAAAAGAGCCAGAAAAGAGCACAGGCUGACUUUAUAGUUAAUGAAGUAAGUACAACUGCCUACUUUACCAGGAGGAAAAGUCCAUAUAAAUUUCUCUCAACUUAUAUUCCCUUGCUGUGCACCUUGCCUCGAUGAAUUGUGUAAUAAAAGGACAGAUCUAACCUACUCUAUGCAAACACAGAAGUUACAGAUUAUAGUAAACAGACUAUUGCUAGAAUCA